Molecule: ribosomal RNA, 508 nt
Filed under: uncultured bacterium
Lineage: Bacteria
Description: bacterial SSU rRNA
Rfam family: Bacterial small subunit ribosomal RNA
Source: RNAcentral
UCCUGGCUCAGGAUGAACGCUAGCGGCAGGCUUAACACAUGCAAGUCGAGGGGCAGCGCGAGUAGCAAUACUUGGCGGCGACCGGCGCAAGGGUGCGUAACGCGUGAGCAACAUGCCCGUAUCAGGGGGAUAAUCCAGGGAAACUUGGUCUAAUACCCCAUAGUAAUUUUGUAAGGCAUCUUAUAAGAUUUAAAGCUUUGGUGGAUACGGAUUGGCUCGCGUGACAUUAGCUGGAUGGUAAGGUAACGGCUUACCAUGGCUAUGAUGUCUAGGGGUUCUGAGAGGAAGGUCCCCCACACUGGAACUGAGACACGGUCCAGACUCCUACGGGAGGCAGCAGUGAGGAAUAUUGGACAAUGGAUGGAAAUCUGAUCCAGCCAUGCCGCGUGAAAAGGAAGAAGGUCCUAUGGAUUGUAAACUUCUUUUGUAUGGGAGCAAUAAGGCCUACGAGUAGGUUGAUGAGAGUACCAUACGAAUAAGCACCGGCUAACUCCGUGCCAGCCGCCGC